Molecule: ribosomal RNA, 515 nt
Filed under: uncultured haloarchaeon
Lineage: Archaea; Methanobacteriati; Methanobacteriota; Halobacteria; Halobacteriales; Halobacteriaceae
Description: bacterial SSU rRNA
Rfam family: Archaeal small subunit ribosomal RNA
Source: RNAcentral
AACCUUUACACUGCACGACAGUGCGAUAGGGGGACACCGAGUGCGAGGGCAUAGAGCCCUCGCUUUUCUGAACCUUAAGGUGGUUCAGGAACAAGGGCUGGGCAAGACCGGUGCCAGCCGCCGCGGUAACACCGGCAGCCCAAGUGAUGGCCGAUUUUAUUGGGCCUAAAGCGUCCGUAGCUGGCCGCGCAAGUUCGUCGGGAAAUCCACGCGCUUAACGUGUGGGCGUCCGGCGAAAACUGUGCGGCUUGGGACCGGAAGAUCUGAGGGGUACGUCUGGGGUAGGAGUGAAAUCCCGUAAUCCUGGACGGACCACCGAUGGCGAAAGCACCUCAGAAGGACGGAUCCGACAGUGAGGGACGAAAGCUAGGGUCUCGAACCGGAUUAGAUACCCGGGUAGUCCUAGCCGUAAACGAUGCUCGCUAGGUGUGGCACAGGCUACGAGCCUGUGCUGUGCCGUACGGAAGCUGUGAAGCGAGCUGCCUGGGAAGUACGUCUGCAAGGAUGAAACUUAA